RNAcentral lists this ribosomal RNA (464 nucleotides) under Vreelandella stevensii. Its description in RNAcentral is "partial 16S ribosomal RNA". It matches the Rfam family "Bacterial small subunit ribosomal RNA", at positions 338 to 795 of the family's 1533-position model. The record is from RNAcentral. Lineage: Bacteria; Pseudomonadati; Pseudomonadota; Gammaproteobacteria; Oceanospirillales; Halomonadaceae.
CCUACGGGUGGCUGCAGUGGGGAAUAUUGGACAAUGGGCGAAAGCCUGAUCCAGCCAUGCCGCGUGUGUGAAGAAGGCCUUCGGGUUGUAAAGCACUUUCAGUGGGGAAGAAAGCCUUGGGGCUAAUACCCUCGAGGAAGGACAUCACCCACAGAAGAAGCACCGGCUAACUCCGGGCCAGCAGCCGCGGUAAUACGGAGGGUGCGAGCGUUAAUCGGAAUUACUGGGCGUAAAGCGCGCGUAGGCGGUCUGAUAAGCCGGUUGUGAAAGCCCCGGGCUCAACCUGGGAACGGCAUCCGGAACGGUCAGGCUAGAGUGCAGGAGAGGAAGGUAGAAUUCCCGGUGUAGCGGUGAAAUGCGUAGAGAUCGGGAGGAAUACCAGUGGCGAACGCGGCCUUCUGGACUGACACUGACGCUGAGGUGCGAAAGCGUGGGUAGCAAACAGGAUUAGAUACCUGGUAGUC